Molecule: transfer RNA, 73 nt
Filed under: Ursus americanus (American black bear)
Lineage: Eukaryota; Metazoa; Chordata; Mammalia; Carnivora; Ursidae
Also listed under: 2 other names
Rfam family: tRNA
About the family: Transfer RNA (tRNA) molecules are approximately 80 nucleotides in length. Their secondary structure includes four short double-helical elements and three loops (D, anti-codon, and T loops). Further hydrogen bonds mediate the characteristic L-shaped molecular structure. tRNAs have two regions of fundamental functional importance: the anti-codon, which is responsible for specific mRNA codon recognition, and the 3' end, to which the tRNAs corresponding amino acid is attached (by aminoacyl-tRNA synthetases). tRNAs cope with the degeneracy of the genetic code in two manners: having more than one tRNA (with a specific anti-codon) for a particular amino acid; and 'wobble' base-pairing, i.e. permitting non-standard base-pairing at the 3rd anti-codon position.
Source: Rfam by way of RNAcentral
ACCUGGCUGGCUCAGUAGGUGGAGCAUGUGACUCUCGAUUUCAAGGUUGUGGGUUCGAGCCCCAAGUUGGGUG